Brassica oleracea var. oleracea is the source of this 1167-nucleotide long non-coding RNA. RefSeq lists it as uncharacterized. Lineage: Eukaryota; Viridiplantae; Streptophyta; Magnoliopsida; Brassicales; Brassicaceae. The transcript is spliced from 3 exons. The record is from RefSeq and is a predicted model, not a curated record.
UUCUUCUUUUGAAAUACUAGGAUCCAUGGUGGACUAGGCUAUGGAAGAGGAAGCAAUCAUGAGAAUCCAUCUCAUAAGAAAGAAUUUUAUGUGCAGAAGAUUUUUUGUUAUAUUAUUUAGAUCAUUAUUAAAAAAAAUCACAUGUAGAGUACAAUUCACUUAUAACCUGUCAAACACUUGAAAAAAAAAGAUAUUAGCUCAUGUUUCCUUUUCGUAUGAUGCAACAGCUUAAAAACCGAAAAUAGGUUCGCUUAACAAGGAAAGAGAAACAUGCUAGAGCAUUUGGAGAAAGAAACAUUGAAAUGGUGCAGAGAAAUCACAUGGAACAGUUCUACUGCAAUUUGUGUGCUGAAUACAGGAUUGCACUCAGUGAUGGGAAUGGCAGACUUCAAGGGCUAGGACGCCAAGAAUGAGACACUCUAAUACUAUGGAACCGAAGAAGCUACUGAAGAAUGUCUUACUUCAGGGGCUUGGAGGCGAUGCCACACUCUUAUUCUAUGUUAAGGUGUCUUGCUGCUUUUCCAUUGGGAGCAGUCCCUGUCACUGCAGAAGAAGAGCCACCACCAGAUCUUUCCUGUUGUGGCUCUGAUGGUGCUGCCAAAAAUCUGUCUGUCUGUGUGUAAGUAUCUGCUGCUGAGACUGGAACUUCUUGAAAUUUAAGCAAUUGUAAGACGUCAGUAAUGAUGCUGCAGGCUCUUUCCAUUGGGAUGAUGUUGCAGUAACAGAAUCAGGUUGAGAAUGAGUCAUCAUUUAACUCCGACCAGUUUGCUGCUGAUCUGUGUAAGAUGAUGGGAAAACACUAAGGGGUCUCCAUCCAUCGUUGUUGCUGCAGUAGGAGGCCAAGUACUAGAAAGAAAGUUGCGGUCUAUGGAUGGACUGUCAUAAAACAGCGCCGGACCAUUCAUUGAUGGGGUCCUCAGCAAGUCUUUUCGGGGUCCUCGACAUGAGCUGAACAGCUUCCAUCUCCUGUCUUUGAGUCACUUGCCUGAUGUUUUUUUUUCUGGUGACCAACGGGAGCUGUAGAUACGAACUGGUAGCCUUUGGAAGAGGAAUUCAAAUUCGCAGGGGCAGUACCAUCGGAAAAAGAGGUAAACUACAUGGAAAAGUUUUGUGGCUGCAUAGGAGUAGUCAUGAUCUGGCCAUGUAGCCCUCCUUUAUGAGUGUGCU